GCCGAUUAGGUGUUAUACAUAUCAGUUUUUCGUGUUGGGGUGGAUUUUUAGGUCAUUCGGCA
Molecule: transfer RNA, 62 nt
Filed under: Fasciolopsis buskii
Lineage: Eukaryota; Metazoa; Platyhelminthes; Trematoda; Plagiorchiida; Fasciolidae
Description: Fasciolopsis buski tRNA-Glu
Source: RNAcentral